This is a non-coding RNA of Carassius auratus (goldfish), 83 nucleotides long. The record is from the annotation of a RefSeq genome assembly. NCBI's taxonomy places the organism in Eukaryota, Metazoa, Chordata, Actinopteri, Cypriniformes, Cyprinidae.
GUAGUCGUGGCCGAGAGGUUAAGGUGAUGUACUCGAAAUCCAUUUGGAGUCUCCCCAUGCAGGUUCUAACCCUGCCGACUACG